This 93-nucleotide microRNA precursor is filed under the name Marmota monax (woodchuck). The record is from RNAcentral. Lineage: Eukaryota; Metazoa; Chordata; Mammalia; Rodentia; Sciuridae.
ACAUAAACCUCCUGGCAACCUUGCUAAGAUGUAGAUUUUAGUUCUGCAGGUCAGAGAAUCUAUCUUUCUAACAAGCUCCUAGGUAUUGAUAAG